CGGUCACAGUGACCGCCACCGUUGCCAAGGGAUGGGUCCCUGAGACUUGGCGAAGUGGGAGCCCUGUGUGAUCGUGCGUCAGAGUCGGGGCUGAGACCAGCCCCGGCCAGGGUAGUUACCGGGACGGUCUCCGGAGGCCGGGAUUCGCGGAGGGUCCACCAGCAGGAAGAAACCCCAGGAGGAAGAAACCUCAGACAGAUCGCCGGGGAGGCAGCGCGGGAUCCCAGCCUCAGGCGUGCGCGGACGGUGUGCGGGUCCAGCUAUGCAUCACCCCUUCGCUGAUGAGCCUUAAGAAAAUCCAAAUUUAUAAAUUGCUGGGUCCAUCUCUCUUUCCAUCCAGAAAAGUCAGAGCAACUGGUCUUGCUGGUUUUAAGUGUUGCCUGUGUUUCUGGCAUUGGUCACAAAGCCUACUGCCUGCUAAUCGGCAAGUGGACCUGUUUCUCUAACAAUGGCCCGAAACUUCACAACAUCAAAGGAGAAAUCAUUGCCAGCAAAAGCAUUUCCGGGUAGUAGGAAAGAAUACAAGUGAAUAACAUUAGUCCAGAAGUUUUAAUAAUAUUCUUUGCUGGUUGAAAUUCAUGUUUAAUAUGAUGUAAAUUACUUGAUAAGCAAAUUAAGAACUAUGCUACUACAGACUCCAAAUAAGACGCAAGAAAAAUGAGGGGAAAUACAUUAAAGGAAGAUCUUAAAAAACAGCUGCACAGAAGAUAAAUUAUUUUUCCAGGAGUUUUAAACAUAGUUGCUUUUGUUUGUUUGCUUUGCUGUUUUUUCUUAAUAAUUGUUUUAGUAAGCUCAGGCUGCUAUAUAAAAAUAAGAUAGGCGCUGGUCUGAACAAUAGACAUUUAUUUCUUAUAGUUCUUGAACCUGGCAAGUCUGAGGAGGGUCAUCUUCUGGGCUUUCAAAGGGCUGCCUUUUUCCUAUGUACGUACAUAGCGAAUAGAAAGUGUUAGCUCUCUGGUCUCUUCCUGUAAGAGCACUAAUCCCAUCAUGAAGACCCCAUCCUUAUGGGCUCAUCUAAACCUAAUUACUUCCAAAGGUCCCACCUCCAAAUGCUAACACAUUGAGAGUUAAGGCUUCAAUAUAUUAAUUUUGGGGAAACAAGACACAGUCCAUAUCAAAUAUAUAUAUAUAUGUAAUAUAUAUGUAUAAUAUAUAUGCAUACUAUAUAUGUAUAUAAUAUGUAUGUAUAAUAUAUAUACAAAUAUAUAUAAUAUAUAUUACAUAUACCCAAAUAUAUAUAUUAUAUAUAUUAUAUAUGUUAUGUAAUACAACUAUAUACACUCUACAAAGGCAGUGGAAUAUAGACAUACUUCAAUUGAUUGUGCUUUGCUUCACUUGGCUUCACAGAUAAUGUGUUUUUCACAAAUUGAAGGUUUAUGACCACCCUGCAUCAAGCAACUUUAUUGGCACCACUUUUUAAUAGCAUGUGUUCAUUUGUAUCUCUGUGCCAUAUCUAGGUAAAUCUCACAAUAUUUCAAACUUUUUAAUUAUAAUUAUAUUUGAUAUGGUAAUCUGUAACCAGUGACCUUUGAUGUUACUAUUGUAAUUGUUUUGGGCACCAUGAACCACAUCCAUAUAAGACAAUGAAUUUAAUCAAUAAAUGUGUGUGUUCUGACUGCUCCGCCAACUUAGACAAUUAGUUUUAGAUCUUUUAUUUAGACGAUGAGAAAAUUUAAACUAUAAAUAGGCCAGGUCUCGUGGCUUAUGCCUGGAAUCCCAGCAUUUUGGGAGGCUGAGGUGGGAGGCUCACUGGAGGCCAGGAGUUCAAAACCAGCCUGGGCAACAUAGGGAGACCUUAGCUCUACAAUUGAAAAAAAAAUAGCCAGGUGUGGUCAUGGUGGCACCUGUCUGUAUUCCAGCCACUUGGGAGGCUGAGGCAGGAGGUUUGCUUGAGUCCAGGAGUUUGAGGUUGCGGUGAGCUACACAAUGAGCUAUGGUGGCACUACUACACUCCAGCCUGGGCCAUAGAGUAAGGCCCUGUCUCUAACUGGAAGUCCAAAGAGGGAUCUACUUCCAAGACUAUUAAUUUAAUAGAUCAAUAAAUUAAUCAAGAAUAUGAUUUUUUUCUCAUCUUUAUUUGUAGUCAUAUUUUAUACAGACUUUUUGUUUAAGUAAUCUCUCUUUAUGGGCAGACAAUGAUUUCAGAAACACCACAAAUUAUUCUCAAAAAGAAAAGACGAGGAUUUUUUUUUUUUUAGAAAAUGUAACUCUUUUCAGUAGCUCUUGGCAGACCUACCCUCACAUUUUCUUGACUAAAAACAGUCAUUAAAAAAAGUCAGUCACAAACAGGUGAAUUUAAAUUAUCAUGGUUUACCUAUACUUAACAAGCUUUAUCCUCAGAGGUAAGGAUAGGGUUACUUUCCUGAAUUUUAGAUAUGUGGAAAUAUUUGGAGUUAUGUCAAUAAAUGAAAAAGUAUGAUGGAUAUAGUGCUUGCCAUGGAAUAUAUCAAAUACAGAUAUUCUGAAAACUUUAAGUUCAGUAAUAUGCCAGGGGUUCCCAAGACCACUUGAGACCUGGUAAUUUACUGGAAAUCUCUAAGGGAAUCAGAAGCUGUAGUACUCAUUGUUACAGUAUAUUACAGUAAAAACAGUACAGAUAGAAGUCAGCUAAGAGAAAAGACAAAUGAAGUGAACUCCAGGAGAAACCAAGUCCAAGCUCUCAGGUGUCCCCUCCCAGAGCAGUUGCAUGGGGACAUGUUUAAUUAUCCCAGCAACAAUAUGUAAAGUGCAAAGCAUUGCCAACCAGGAACACUCGCUGGAGCCUAGUUGUCGAAGGUGUUUACUGGGAUCAGUCACAUAGUCAUGUAAUGCCCAUAUGAUUGACCUCAGCUCCAUGACAUUUAAGCACAACUUUCUUCCUACACCCAGAGUAAAAACAGAUGUUCACAUAAGUCACGUUGAUAACAUAACCUUUUCUGGUCGAACUGGGAGAGUAUGGCCCAAGACUUCAGGAAAACAAGAACACUUUUAUCAAGCAAAAUACUCCAAGGGCUCAGAGAUGAACUCCUAGACUAAGGUCUAGUCCUGCAGAGGGACCCCUCUUUGGAAUGUACAGUAUUUGAGCAAUUCAUGCCAGUCAAGUUAAACCUUUUCACCCAUGCCUAAAUGCUAUUUAAGAAAUGUAAAUAACAACAAUGAGAUAGUUUAUUAAACAUUUUUAUUGUAAUACACAAAUAGUAUAUAGUUAAUUAAUUUUAACAAAGUGAUUGUACAUAUUUCACAAUAAAAUUCCCUUAAAUUACCAUCUGCUCCAUCUGCAAGUAAUUAUUAUUCUGAUUGCUAAUAACAUAGACUUUUUUAACCUAUUUUUGAACUUUUAUAAUAGAAUUAAACAAUAUAUAUUCUUUUCUGGAUGGCUUCUCUUACUCAGAAAUGUAUUUGGGAGAGUCAUCAAAGCUCUCUUGGGUAUACCAUUUAUCCUUCUUGCUUGAUAAUACUCCAUGUAUUUAUAUAUAUGCUAUGAUGUGUUUAUUUCACUCUUGAUGGAUAACUGCAAAACUUCCAAUUUAAGCUGUUGUGAAUAAUUCUUUAAUAAACAAUUUUGUACAUUUCCUGAAUAUGUUUAUGUGUUCCUGUUGGAUGAUAGUAGCAGAAUUAUUGGUCACAGGGUAUGCAUAUACUUAAUUUUAACAGAUAAGGUCAAAUACUUUCCAAAUUCAUUUUAACAAUUACAGUCAACCUGCAUUGUUUUAGAGCCCCGAUUGCAGGGUCAUUUUGGAUUAGUUUGUCUUUCUCUUGUUGAUUUUAAUGGAUAGUGUUAGGCUGUAAAUAAAGUUAUUUAUGCAUAGUAAGAACUUUCUCAACAAAUUUUACUCAGACUUCUGCUCUACGCUAAGAACUAGCUCUGGAAAUUAAUUCACAGAAAGAACAUGGUUAGGGGCCAUCCUGAGGGAUUUACCUCACUAGGGAUAUAUAUUUACAUUUCAAGAGAAGAUGAGACCCAGUAGAUGCAUCCCAGAAGUUACAAAGCUGGAGACUCUAGUGUUAUCUUUC
RNAcentral lists this long non-coding RNA (3993 nucleotides) under Homo sapiens (human). RNAcentral's name for it is "HSALNT0402825". Lineage: Eukaryota; Metazoa; Chordata; Mammalia; Primates; Hominidae. The record is from RNAcentral.